AAGUCAUGAUGAAGACACUGUCUCAAAUAACCCUUAAAUCAGUCUCAUGCUUCAAAUAGUGUUUCCUCAUCUUCCUGAGCAAAGCCUUAAAUUCUAUUCCUCAUAU
Zingiber officinale is the source of this 106-nucleotide small nucleolar RNA. NCBI's taxonomy places the organism in Eukaryota, Viridiplantae, Streptophyta, Magnoliopsida, Zingiberales, Zingiberaceae. The record is from RefSeq and is a predicted model, not a curated record.